This 253-nucleotide ribosomal RNA is filed under the name Salmonella enterica subsp. enterica serovar Hvittingfoss str. A4-620. RNAcentral describes it as "partial large subunit ribosomal RNA". It matches the Rfam family "Bacterial large subunit ribosomal RNA", at positions 1271 to 1528 of the family's 2925-position model. Lineage: Bacteria; Pseudomonadati; Pseudomonadota; Gammaproteobacteria; Enterobacterales; Enterobacteriaceae. The record is from RNAcentral.
UGCUGGAGGUAUCAGAAGUGCGAAUGCUGACAUAAGUAACGAUAAAGCGGGUGAAAAGCCCGCUCGCCGGAAGACCAAGGGUUCCUGUCCAACGUUAAUCGGGGCAGGGUGAGUCGACCCCUAAGGCGAGGCCGAAAGGCGUAGUCGAUGGGAAACGGGUUAAUAUUCCCGUACUUGGUGUUACUGCGAAGGGGGGACGGAGAAGGCUAUGUUGGCCGGGCGACGGUUGUCCCGGUUUAAGCGUGUAGGUGUG